RNAcentral lists this ribosomal RNA (505 nucleotides) under uncultured bacterium. RNAcentral describes it as "partial 16S ribosomal RNA". It matches the Rfam family "Bacterial small subunit ribosomal RNA", at positions 29 to 523 of the family's 1533-position model. The record is from RNAcentral.
AGUGAACGCUGGCGGUAGGCCUAACACAUGCAAGUCGAACGGCAGCACAGAGGAGCUUGCUCCUUGGGUGGCGAGUGGCGGACGGGUGAGGAAUACAUCGGAAUCUACUCUGUCGUGGGGAUAACGUAGGGAAACUUACGCUAAUACCGCAUACGACCUACGGGUGAAAGCAGGGGAUCUUCGGACCUUGCGCGAUUGAAUGAGCCGAUGUCGGAUUAGCUAGUUGGCGGGGUAAAGGCCCACCAAGGCGACGAUCCGUAGCUGGUCUGAGAGGAUGAUCAGCCACACUGGAACUGAGACACGGUCCAGACUCCUACGGGAGGCAGCAGUGGGGAAUAUUGGACAAUGGGCGCAAGCCUGAUCCAGCCAUACCGCGUGGGUGAAGAAGGCCUUCGGGUUGUAAAGCCCUUUUGUUGGGAAAGAAAUCCAUCUGGUUAAUACCCGAGUGGGAUGACGGUACCCAAAGAAUAAGCACCGGCUAACUUCGUGCCAGCCGCCGCAGUAA